ACGCUUGCUCACCUCCCGGACGGUAACAAGUCAACACCGCAUCCACAUCCACAUCCAAAGUAGAGUACACACACAAAUCCCGAGCGAGCGAAAACCGAUUCCUUUUCUUACCGCACCGCGAAGCCAAGGCGAAGGCGAAGGUUGUCGUCGGCGAUGUUCCUGGUGGGGAUAGUGGCGGAGCUGCUGGAGGACUACACGAGAUGCUGGUGGCGGAGGUGCUGGAGCAGCUGCUCAACGGCGCGCCGUUCCCCCGCCGGAUGCGCACGCUCAUGCUGCGGAGCCUCCCCUUCGUUGCCCCGCCGCUGGCGCCGCCCCCGCCGCCGUACGCCCUCCGCGUCACCACCCGAGGCUGAUCGAUCCAGCCGACUGCCUCUGCCAAGCCUCGUCCGAUCCGAUAGGUCCAUCCAGAUCGUCUGUUUUGCCUCUUUCGGUUCAUUCUGUUGAUUCGUUUGGUGUACAGACCGACUGUACUAGUUGUACUGUGAUGUCUCUUGUUAUCCACAGCGGUGGAAAUGAGACCGAUUUUUCCAUGGCUCCUUUGUAAAUAGUUCUGGUGAGAUCUGGGGGCCUUUCAGUUUGAGCUCCUUUUUCAUGUGGAUAAUGCAUACUAGUAGAAUUCUGGAUGAUCUCUUUUGCUGGA
This is an RNA transcript of Aegilops tauschii subsp. strangulata, 640 nucleotides long. RefSeq lists it as uncharacterized. The record is from RefSeq and is a predicted model, not a curated record. NCBI's taxonomy places the organism in Eukaryota, Viridiplantae, Streptophyta, Magnoliopsida, Poales, Poaceae.